Molecule: long non-coding RNA, 2356 nt
Organism: Cyprinus carpio carpio
Lineage: Eukaryota; Metazoa; Chordata; Actinopteri; Cypriniformes; Cyprinidae
Source: Ensembl
CUCUAUUAAUAAAUUUUUCCAAGUUGUAAUGUGUAUGGUGUUCCUUGAUUUCCAGUUCAUGAGGAUAGUUUUCUUGGCGAUAGUUAGAGCUACUAGGAGUAAUUGACUGUUUGUACUGUUUAGAUUGAUUAUGGAUAUGUCACCUAAUAUACAAAGGGAGGGGGACAGCGGGAUGUGACAUCCCAUAAAUUUGGAUAGUGAGUUAGUAACAUUUUCCCAGAAUUUUUUAACUGAGGUGCAAUCCCAAAUAGCGUGUAAAUAGGUGUCUGGAGUGUUUUGUGUGCAAUGUGAGCAUGUUUCUGCAGUAAAACCCAUUUUAAAUAAUUUCUGCCCAGUAAGGUGAGAUCUAUGAAGUACUUUAUACUGUAUAAGUUGUAAGUUGGCGUUUUUUGUCAUGAAGGUGAUAUUUUUACAGAUUUGUGUCCAGAAAGCGGCAUUGGGAGUAAUGGAUAAGUCCGAUUCCCAUUUAGCACUGGGUAAGCUUAAUGUAUUGUCUGAUUUGGAUAUUAUUUUAUAUAUUUUGGAGAGUAGUUUUUUUGGGGAGGUUAUAUUAAUUAGCUCUGAGAUUGGAGGGGGAAGGUCUAGAUUAAUUGUCUUAGUGUCAAUUUUUGAUUGAAUAGAUGAUUUGAUUUGUAAGUAUUCCAAAAAACAAUUACUCCCAAUGCCGUAUUUCUGGACCAAGUGGGAAAAUGGUGCCAAGUUAUUAUUAAGGAGGAUGUGUUGAAGUUGUGUGAUGCCCUUAUCUACCCAUGUGCGCAAGUUGAGUGGCUUCUUGUUAACUAUGAAAUCUGGGUUAUUCCAAAUCGGGGUGUAUUUAGAUGGUGCAAGAGGUGUGUUUGUGAUUUGAUGAAAUUUCCACCAGGCUGUCAGAGCUGUGGCUAUUGUUGGUGUUUUAAAACAGUUAUGCUUUUUGAUUGUCUGAUUAUAGAAGGGUAAAUCUGAAAUGUUAAUGUCCUUACAAACUGACUGUUCCACAUCUAGCCAUGUGCUUUCUGAUGGGUUAGGAUGAAUCCAUUUAUAUAUAUUUUGGAGCUGAUUGGCCAAAAAGUAGUGGUAUAAAUGUGGAGCUUCAAGUCCUCCUUGUGUUUUUGGUUUCUGUAGUGUAGAUAAUUUAAUUCUUGGGGUCUUAUUUUUCCAGUAGAAUUUAGUGAUGAUUGAAUCUAGCGAUUUAAACCAGGUGAGGGUGGGUAAUGCUGGAAUCAUUGUAAAUAAAUAGUUUAAUUUAGGGAGUAUAGUCAUUUUAAUUACUGAUAUUCUGCCCAUAAUGGAUAGUGGUAAAUUCAUCCAGCGAUGAAGGUCAUCAUUUAUUGUUUUAAGUAAUGGAGAAAAGUUAAGUCCAAAAAGCUCAGACAGCCUGGGGGAAACAUUAAUGCCUAAGUAUGUGAUAUAGUUGGUGCACAAAGGAAUAGGUGGUGUUUGGGAUGUCACAUCCAUGCUGUUGGAAUGUAAUGUAAGUAUGGCCGAUUUACUCCAGUUGAUGGAGUAUUCAGAGAUAUUUGAGAAUGAAUCAAUGAGUUUAAUUGUUUCUUGUAAUGAUGAUGGGGGGUCUUGUAAAUAUAGUAAUAUAUCAUCAGCGUAAAGACUAAUUUUGUGGUGCAUGUUUAGUGUUUGAAUUCCUUUAAUGUAGCUGUUUUGUCGGAUGGCUGCUGCUAAUGGCUCAAUGAAAAUGGUAAAUAAUGAAGGGGAGAGUGGGCAUCCUUGUCUAGUCCCCCGUUGUAGUGUGAAGAUAUGUGAUGUUAGUCCAUUGGUGAUGACAGUGGCUGAAGGUGAUGUAUACAGAAUUUUGAUCCAAUUAAUGAAUGACUCCCCAAAACCAAACCUCUCUAAUGUGGAAAACAGGAAUUUCCAAUUGACCCUAUCAAAAGCUUUUUCUGCAUCGAGAGUAACUAUGAUGGUUUUGGUUUUUUGAGUUGAUGAAUAAUGCAUUAGGUUAAAAAGUCUGCGUGUGUUAUUGGACGAAAGUCUACCUUUGAUGAAACCGGUUUGAUCUGGAUGGAUUAUAGAUGGUGUGACUUUUUCUAUUCUAUGUGCUAGUGCUUUGGCGAUGAUUUUGAUGUCUACAUUGAUUAGGGAAAUUGGACGAUAACUUGACGGUGAUGUUGGGUCUUUAUUUGGUUUAAGAAGGAGUGAAAUAGUGGCUGUGUUCAUAUUAUCUGGGAGUUUUGAUUUUUGUUUUGAUUCAGUAAUCAUACGGAUGAAAAGUGGCGAUAAAAUGGACCAAAAAUGUUUGUAGAAUUCAGCAGGGAAUCCAUCGGGGCCUGAUUCAAGAGUAUUUAUUUGAUGUUUCCUGAGUUGUGGUAGGUUGAUAUUAUUGAGAAAUGAAUCAAUGUCUUUCUGAUCUGGGUCUUUUUCAGAG